UGCAAGUCGAACGGUAGCACAGAGAGCUUGCUCUCGGGUGACGAGUGGCGGACGGGUGAGUAAUGUCUGGGAAACUGCCUGAUGGAGGGGGAUAACUACUGGAAACGGUAGCUAAUACCGCAUAACGUCGCAAGACCAAAGAGGGGGACCUUCGGGCCUCUUGCCAUCAGAUGUGCCCAGAUGGGAUUAGCUAGUAGGUGGGGUAACGGCUCACCUAGGCGACGAUCCCUAGCUGGUCUGAGAGGAUGACCAGCCACACUGGAACUGAGACACGGUCCAGACUCCUACGGGAGGCAGCAGUGGGGAAUAUUGCACAAUGGGCGCAAGCCUGAUGCAGCCAUGCCGCGUGUAUGAAGAAGGCCUUCGGGUUGUAAAGUACUUUCAGCGGGGAGGAAGGUGUUGCGGUUAAUAACCGCAGCAAUUGACGUUACCCGCAGAAGAAGCACCGGCUAACUCCGUGCCAGCAGCCGCGGUAAUACGGAGGGUGCAAGCGUUAAUCGGAAUUACUGGGCGUAAAGCGCACGCAGGCGGUCUGUCAAGUCGGAUGUGAAAUCCCCGGGCUCAACCUGGGAACUGCAUUCGAAACUGGCAGGCUAGAGUCUUGUAGAGGGGGGUAGAAUUCCAGGUGUAGCGGUGAAAUGCGUAGAGAUCUGGAGGAAUACCGGUGGCGAAGGCGGCCCCCUGGACAAAGACUGACGCUCAGGUGCGAAAGCGUGGGGAGCAAACAGGAUUAGAUACCCUGGUAGUCCACGCCGUAAACGAUGUCGACUUGGAGGUUGUGCCCUUGAGGCGUGGCUUCCGGAGCUAACGCGUUAAGUCGACCGCCUGGGGAGUACGGCCGCAAGGUUAAAACUCAAAUGAAUUGACGGGGGCCCGCACAAGCGGUGGAGCAUGUGGUUUAAUUCGAUGCAACGCGAAGAACCUUACCUACUCUUGACAUCCAGAGAACUUUCCAGAGAUGGAUUGGUGCCUUCGGGAACUCUGAGACAGGUGCUGCAUGGCUGUCGUCAGCUCGUGUUGUGAAAUGUUGGGUUAAGUCCCGCAACGAGCGCAACCCUUAUCCUUUGUUGCCAGCGGUCCGGCCGGGAACUCAAAGGAGACUGCCAGUGAUAAACUGGAGGAAGGUGGGGAUGACGUCAAGUCAUCAUGGCCCUUACGAGUAGGGCUACACACGUGCUACAAUGGCGCAUACAAAGAGAAGCGAACUCGCGAGAGCAAGCGGACCUCAUAAAGUGCGUCGUAGUCCGGAUUGGAGUCUGCAACUCGACUCCAUGAAGUCGGAAUCGCUAGUAAUCGUAGAUCAGAAUGCUACGGUGAAUACGUUCCCGGGCCUUGUACACACCGCCCGUCACACCAUGGGAGUGGGUUGCAAAAGAAGUAGGUAGCUUAACCUUCGGGAGGGCG
Molecule: ribosomal RNA, 1404 nt
Filed under: Enterobacter ludwigii
Lineage: Bacteria; Pseudomonadati; Pseudomonadota; Gammaproteobacteria; Enterobacterales; Enterobacteriaceae
Description: bacterial SSU rRNA
Rfam family: Bacterial small subunit ribosomal RNA
Source: RNAcentral